AUUGAACGCUGGCGGCAGGCCUAACACAUGCAAGUCGAACGGUAACAGGAAGCAGCUUGCUGCUUCGCUGACGAGUGGCGGACGGGUGAGUAAUGUCUGGGAAGCUGCCUGAUGGAGGGGGAUAACUACUGGAAACGGUAGCUAAUACCGCAUAAUGUCGCAAGACCAAAGAGGGGGACCUUCGGGCCUCUUGCCAUCGGAUGUGCCCAGAUGGGAUUAGCUUGUUGGUGGGGUAACGGCUCACCAAGGCGACGAUCCCUAGCUGGUCUGAGAGGAUGACCAGCCACACUGGAACUGAGACACGGUCCCGACUCCUACGGGAGGCAGCAGUGGGGAAUAUUGCACAAUGGGCGCAAGCCUGAUGCAGCCAUGCCGCGUGUAUGAAGAAGGCCUUCGGGUUGUAAAGUACUUUCAGCGGGGAGGAAGGGAGUAAAGUUAAUACCUUUGCUCAUUGACGUUACCCGCAGAAGAAGCACCGGCUAACUCCGUG
RNAcentral lists this ribosomal RNA (490 nucleotides) under uncultured bacterium. Its description in RNAcentral is "partial 16S ribosomal RNA". It matches the Rfam family "Bacterial small subunit ribosomal RNA", at positions 30 to 507 of the family's 1533-position model. The record is from RNAcentral.